This 849-nucleotide long non-coding RNA is filed under the name Capsella grandiflora. RNAcentral's name for it is "long non-coding RNA (CGRA_LNC000334)". Lineage: Eukaryota; Viridiplantae; Streptophyta; Magnoliopsida; Brassicales; Brassicaceae. The record is from RNAcentral.
CCAAACCUCAAAAAAAUCUCGGCGACGGCGAUUCUCUUCGUCUGUCUUCCGGCGUCUCCCGUUCGUCAGAGUCGCUGAGAUCCUCCUGCACUUGUCGUUCAGGUUCGUUUCGAUUCUCUUUUGCCAAUCCAACUCAGAACUGUGUGUUUUGUUUCAUUGAUGUUAAGUCUUGUGAUUGCAUUCUCUGGAUGGUUACUUGUAUACACAUGUGAUGCGUAUGUGUGUUUGGUGGAGAAUAAGUGAGAAACACAUUACUAAUAUUUGUCUUUCAUCUCUAAUACUUGCUUUCAUGCUAGGUGCUGUAUUGGGAGAUGAAGAACCGGUUGAGAGAUAGAUUCUUGCAUGAUCAAUUUUUUUAUUUCUAUGUUGUUUACCUUAAUCAGGUAUAUAUAGAGGGUGACAUGACAACCUUAAAGCCAGCUUGUGAACUUGUAAGCCAUAUCUAUAACAAGCAUGUGUAACAUUUGAAUAAUAGAAGCAACAGGUAACACAGUAACAAACAAAGGCGAGAAGAAGAGGAAAAAAAAGAUGUAGAGCAAAUCAAUCCCUUUUACUAAUCUAUCACAGUCAUGGCAGCGUCACCGUUUUGGGUCUUGUAAGCAGUCAACAGGUGAAAGAGACCAGAGAGGUGUGUCUUGUUAACAAAAAAGCAUUUGUGAAGUUUGUAUUGUUUAUGUCUUGAAUCCCAAAUGACCCAUUUUGUGGACCUUCUUCGUGGGUCGCACGUGGAUGUCCCAAUUACAUCUUCACUGUUUCAGUGUUUUGGACCCAUCUCCUGACUCAUGGCUCCAUGUUAUUAUUUUAUUUUUCCUAAAUGUCAUUAUGAUUCAGGACCCAAGAUAAAUUUUU